AGUGAACGCUGGCGGUAGGCCUAACACAUGCAAGUCGAACGGCAGCACAGUAAGAGCUUGCUCUUACGGGUGGCGAGUGGCGGACGGGUGAGGAAUACAUCGGAAUCUACUUUUUCGUGGGGGAUAACGUAGGGAAACUUACGCUAAUACCGCAUACGACCUACGGGUGAAAGCAGGGGAUCUUCGGACCUUGCGCGAUUGAAUGAGCCGAUGUCGGAUUAGCUAGUUGGCGGGGUAAAGGCCCACCAAGGCGACGAUCCGUAGCUGGUCUGAGAGGAUGAUCAGCCCCACUGGAACUGAGACACGGUCCAGACUCCUACGGGAGGCAGCAGUGGGGAAUAUUGGACAAUGGGCGCAAGCCUGAUCCAGCCAUACCGCGUGGUGAAGAAGGCCUUCGGGUUGUAAAGCCCUUUUGUUGGGAAAGAAAAGCAGCAGGUUAAUACCCCGCUGUUCUGACGGUACCCAAAGAAUAAGCACCGGCUAACUUCGU
RNAcentral lists this ribosomal RNA (490 nucleotides) under uncultured bacterium. RNAcentral's name for it is "partial 16S ribosomal RNA". It matches the Rfam family "Bacterial small subunit ribosomal RNA", at positions 29 to 506 of the family's 1533-position model. The record is from RNAcentral.